Molecule: ribosomal RNA, 578 nt
Filed under: uncultured Bacteroidota bacterium
Lineage: Bacteria; Pseudomonadati; Bacteroidota
Description: bacterial SSU rRNA
Rfam family: Bacterial small subunit ribosomal RNA
Source: RNAcentral
CCUACGGGAGGCAGCAGUGAGGAAUAUUGGGCAAUGGAGGAAACUCUGACCCAGCCAUGCCGCGUGCAGGAAGACGGCCCUAUGGGUUGUAAACUGCUUUUGUACGAGAAUAAACCUUUCCACGUGUGGAAAGCUGAAGGUACCGUACGAAUAAGGAUCGGCUAACUCCGUGCCAGCAGCCGCGGUAAUACGGAGGAUCCAAGCGUUAUCCGGAUUUAUUGGGUUUAAAGGGUCCGUAGGCGGGUCUUUAAGUCAGUGGUGAAAGCCUGCAGCUUAACUGUAGAAUUGCCAUUGAUACUGGAGGCCUUGAGUGUAGUAGAAGUAGGCGGAAUAAGGCAUGUAGCGGUGAAAUGCAUAGAUAUGCCUUAGAACACCGAUUGCGAAGGCAGCUUACUAUGUUACAACUGACGUUGAGGGACGAAAGCGUGGGGAGCGAACAGGAUUAGAUACCCUGGUAGUCCACGCCGUAAACGAUGAUUACUCGCUGUUAGCGAUAUACAGUUAGCGGCCAAGCGAAAGCAUUAAGUAAUCCACCUGGGGAGUACGCCGGCAACGGUGAAACUCAAAGGAAUUGACGG